Molecule: ribosomal RNA, 256 nt
Filed under: Enterobacter cloacae
Lineage: Bacteria; Pseudomonadati; Pseudomonadota; Gammaproteobacteria; Enterobacterales; Enterobacteriaceae
Description: partial 23S ribosomal RNA
Rfam family: Bacterial large subunit ribosomal RNA
Source: RNAcentral
GAGGACCGGGUGGGAGGAAUCACUGGUGUUCGGGUUGUCAUGCCAAUGGCACUGCCCGGUAGCUAAAUGCGGAAGAGAUAAGUGCUGAAAGCAUCUAAGCACGAAACUUGCCCCGAGAUGAGUUCUCCCUGAGACCUUGAGUCUCCUGAAGGAACGUUGAAGACGACGACGUUGAUAGGUCGGGUGUGUAAGCGCAGCGAUGCGUUGAGCUAACCGAUACUAAUGAACCGUGAGGCUUAACCUUACAACGCCGAAG